AUGGCAACUGGUAGUGAAGCCACGAAGGCAGCUGAGGCUGAGCUUGAGUGGCAUAAACAGGACAGCAAGAGGAUGCUCCACGCGGUUUGCCGUGUCGGGGAUCUGGACCGCAUAAUCAAGUAAUACACAGAAUGCUUUGGGAUGAAACUGCUGAGGAAAAGAGAUGUUCCUGAUGAGAAGUACACCAACGCCUUCCUUGGCUUUGGAGACACCAACUUCGCACAUGAAUUGACAUAUAACUAUGGUGUUGACAAGUAUGACACUGGAGAGCGCUUUGGGCAUUUCGGAAUCGCUAAUGAGGAUGUGUACAAGUUGGCUGUGCAUGUUAAAUCCAAGGGUGGCAAUAUCACUCGUGUACCUGGUCAUGUCAAGGGAGGAUAUAUUCACUAUUAUUGCCUUUGCACAGGACCUGAUGGCUACAGGUUUGCCCGUAUCCAGAGGGCUGAGAUACAUGAACCUCUUUGUCAAGUCAUGCUUCGUGUUGGUGAUCUUGAGCGUUCUAUCAAGUUCUAUGAGAAAGUAUUUUUUGCUUUUCUAAGGCUGGGCUAUUCCAAAAGUUGGAGAUGCUAA
RNAcentral lists this ribosomal RNA (570 nucleotides) under Triticum aestivum (bread wheat). RNAcentral describes it as "partial small subunit ribosomal RNA". Lineage: Eukaryota; Viridiplantae; Streptophyta; Magnoliopsida; Poales; Poaceae. The record is from RNAcentral.